Molecule: non-coding RNA, 1219 nt
Organism: Paramuricea clavata
Lineage: Eukaryota; Metazoa; Cnidaria; Anthozoa; Malacalcyonacea; Plexauridae
Source: the annotation of a GenBank genome assembly
AUUUAUAUGUUUCCGCUGAGCUCUAUAUAUGUCAACUGAAGCACUAUGCAUAAAAAACACAUUAACUGAUCAAAUUGGUCUUAGCCAUCUCAUCUCAAAGCACGAAAUGUUCUGUUUUGAGAAAACCGUAUUUAAAACAUUUAAACCUUUGCUUGAAUAUCUUAUAUUUCGAAAAACAGUAUAAACUGUACGGUCUAAAUUUAGUUUGCACGGUCUAAAUUUAGUUUGCACGAAAGUUGUAAACAACACCAUAUAAGGAUAGACAUUCCAUAUUUGGAAAAACGAAUGUUAUGGGGCAGAAUUCAAAAUUGUAUAUCAUCAGUGCAGGCUCUCAUUUCACCUUGAGAGCCGGCAUAUUGUAAACACUGGACUGGACUUUGGACUGGACUUUUGACUUUGGACUCAUGGACUUUGGACUACGGACUUUGGACUUUCGAUUUUGAAAUUGUAUUAUUUUUUAGAUUUUCGUAUAAUUAUAUUAAAAUUUAAACAGAGAACGAAAAUUUGCUGCUGAAAAGCGUGCUACACUGCAUGCACAUGCAUGAUAUAAUAUACAAGGUAAAAAAUACUCCGUAUCAGUUAUAUAGGUAUACCAGCAGUGCAAUUUCAUACGGAUAUAGCCUGUAGGAUAGCAGGAUUAUCCAAUAUUUUGGGACUUAAUAUUUAAAUUUUAUAUACUAUUUGUAUUUAUAGUAUGCAUAGUACAGUUUAGACUGCAGAACUUCUUUAUCAUAUAGAUAAUAGAUUAAUUGUCAGAAACAAUUGUGACAAAAGCGUCUCGGCAAAUACAAAAUAUUAACUAUACAAGUGAUUAUUAUUGCGCCUAUUGAGUAUUGACUAUUGUAUUAUGUAUCUAUUGACUGUUCAUCUUUGCUUAAUAGUUUAUACUGGUACUGUCUUGUGUAAUUGUUUACUCCGUUACACAGUAACGUUUUGUUAAUGUUACUUAUUUUUGAAAGACAUUCUAGUUAGCUAUUCUUAUCACUAAGACUAAGUGCUUCAGUUAUUAUUAAUAAGUGUUAGUAGAUGGACAGGAAUAUUCGAACGGAAAUUUACACACUUUUUAAGACCUACUCAGUUGUAUGUGAGAAGGCAAAAAUCUAUGUCUAUGUGCUUCAGGUAGUCUAGCAACUAUUUGCCACGUAGUAUAAAGAUUAAUUCUCAGCCGCAUAAUGUACGCAAAAGAGCCAUAUAUAGACAAUAAUAUAGUGACAUAAAU